GAACGCACAUUGCGCCCCUUGGUAUUCCAUGGGGCAUGCCUGUUCGAGCGUCAUUUGUACCCUCAAGCUCUGCUUGGUGUUGGGUGUUUGUCCUCUCCUUUGCGUUUGGACUCGCCUUAAAGCAAUUGGCAGCCAGUGUUUUGGUAUUGAAGCGCAGCACAUUUUGCGAUUCUAACUAAUAAUACUUGCGUCCAUAAGCCUUUUUUAACUUUUGACCUCGGAUCAGGUAGGGAUACCCGCUGAACUUAAG
Molecule: unclassified non-coding RNA, 250 nt
Filed under: Septoriella hirta
Lineage: Eukaryota; Fungi; Ascomycota; Dothideomycetes; Pleosporales; Phaeosphaeriaceae
Description: sequence contains 5.8S rRNA gene
Rfam family: 5.8S ribosomal RNA (bases 1-53)
Source: RNAcentral